GCGAGAGUGGCGGAACUUGGCAGACGCGCUGGACUUAGGAUCCAGUGGGGAAACCUGUGGGGGUUCAAAUCCCCCCUCUCGCACCA
This 86-nucleotide transfer RNA is filed under the name Thermodesulfovibrionales bacterium. RNAcentral describes it as "tRNA-Leu". It matches the Rfam family "tRNA". From Rfam's summary of the family: Transfer RNA (tRNA) molecules are approximately 80 nucleotides in length. Their secondary structure includes four short double-helical elements and three loops (D, anti-codon, and T loops). Lineage: Bacteria; Pseudomonadati; Nitrospirota; Thermodesulfovibrionia; Thermodesulfovibrionales. The record is from RNAcentral.